GUUUGAUCAUGNUCAGAACGAACGCNGNNGGCGUGCUNANACAUGCAAGUCGUGCGAGAAAGCCACCUUCGGGUGGUGANUAAAGCGGCGCACGGGUGAGUAACGCGUGGAUAAUCUACCUGUAGGUCUGGGAUAANUCCGGGAAACUGGGGCUAAUACCGGAUAGGACCACGGGACCUUCGGGUCUUGCGGAAAAAGGUGGCCUCUUCUUGAAAGCUAUCGCCUAUCGAUGAGUCCGCGUCCCAUUAGCUUGUUGGCGAGGUAAAGGCUCACCAAGGCUUCGAUGGGUAGCUGGUCUGAGAGGAUGAUCAGCCACACUGGAACUGAGACACGGUCCAGACUCCUGCGGGAGGCAGCAGUCGGGAAUUUUGGGCAAUGGGGGAAACCCUGACCCAGCAACGCCGCGUGAGGGAUGAAGGCCCUCGGGUCGUAAACCUCUGUCGGAAGGGAAGAAAGGCGUCUGCUCCAAUACAGCAGGGGCUUGACGGUACCUUCAAAGGAAGCACCGGCUAACUCCGUGCCAGCAGCCGCGGUAAUACGGAGGGUGCAAGCGUUGUUCGGAAUUACUGGGCGUAAAGCGCGUGUAGGCGGCUUGGCAAGUCGAGUGUGAAAUCCCAGGGCUCAACCCUGGAACUGCACCCGAAACUGCCUCGCUGGAGUCCCGGAGAGGGUGGCGGAAUUUCCGGUGUAGAGGUGAAAUUCGUAGAUAUCGGAAGGAACACCAGUGGCGAAGGCGGCCACCUGGACGGUGACUGACGCUGAGACGCGAAAGCGUGGGGAGCAAACAGGAUUAGAUACCCUGGUAGUCCACGCCGUAAACGUUGAGUGCUAGGCGUCGGGGGUAUUGACCCCUCCGGUGCCGGAGUUAACGCAUUAAGCACUCCGCCUGGGGAGUACGACCGCAAGGUUAAAACUCAAAGGAAUUGACGG
RNAcentral lists this ribosomal RNA (930 nucleotides) under uncultured bacterium. Its description in RNAcentral is "bacterial SSU rRNA". It matches the Rfam family "Bacterial small subunit ribosomal RNA", at positions 11 to 916 of the family's 1533-position model. The record is from RNAcentral.